GAUGAACGCUGGCGGCGUGCCUAAUACGUGCAAGUCGAGCGAACGGACGAGAAGCUUGCUUCUCUGAUGUUAGCGGCGGACGGGUGAGUAACACGUGGAUAACCUACCUAUAAGACUGGGAUAACUUCGGGAAACCGUAGCUAAUACCGGAUAAUAUUUUGAACCGCAUGGUUCAAAAGUGAAAGACGGUCUUGCUGUCACUUAUAGAUGGAUCCGCGCUGCAUUAGCUAGUUGGUAAGGUAACGGCUUACCAAGGCAACGAUGCAUAGCCGACCUGAGAAGGUGAUCGGCCACACUGGAACUGAGACACGGUCCAGACUCCUACGGGAGGCAGCAGUAGGGAAUCUUCCGCAAUGGGCGAAAGCCUGACGGAGCAACGCCGCGUGAGUGAUGAAGGUCUUCGGAUCGUAAAACUCUGUUAUUAGGGAAGAACAUAUGUGUAAGUAACUGUGCACAUCUUGACGGUACCUAAUCAGAAAGCCACGGCUAACUACGUG
Molecule: ribosomal RNA, 497 nt
Filed under: uncultured bacterium
Lineage: Bacteria
Description: partial 16S ribosomal RNA
Rfam family: Bacterial small subunit ribosomal RNA
Source: RNAcentral